This 252-nucleotide ribosomal RNA is filed under the name uncultured bacterium. RNAcentral describes it as "partial 16S ribosomal RNA". It matches the Rfam family "Bacterial small subunit ribosomal RNA", at positions 524 to 776 of the family's 1533-position model. The record is from RNAcentral.
UACAGAGACUGCAAGCGUUAUUCGGAUUCACUGGGCGUAAAGGGUGCGCAGGCGGUUGUGUGUGUCAGGUGUGAAAGCCCCGGGCUCAACCUGGGAAUUGCAUUCGAGACUGCGUAGCUAGGGUGCGGAAGAGGGAAGCGGAAUUUCCGGUGUAGCGGUGAAAUGCGUAGAUAUCGGAAGGAACACCAGUGGCGAAAGCGGCUUCCUGGUCCAGCACCGACGUCAGGCACGAAAGCGUGGGGAGCAAACAGG